RNAcentral lists this unclassified non-coding RNA (203 nucleotides) under soil metagenome. RNAcentral's name for it is "partial contains 5.8S ribosomal RNA, internal transcribed spacer 2, and large subunit ribosomal RNA". The record is from RNAcentral.
AACGCACGAGACCUGCGGACCUGCGGAAGGAUCAUUACCGAGUUUACAACUCCCAAACCCCUGUGAACAUACCACUCGUUGCCUCGGCGGAUCACCGCGCCCCGUGAAACGGGCCGGCCCGCCAGAGGACCUAAACUCAAAUGUUUUAUUGUAUCUUCUGAGUAAAAACACAAAUAAAUCAAAACUUUUAGCAACGGAUCUCU